CAUAGAGGAAGUAUCUAAAGACAUCUUGGCUAUGCUGUUGAACCCACCACUGAUUGCUGCAUUUGUGAUUGGCUCAGCCACAAUCUGUUGUAUCUUCCUGUGUUUGACAGGGAAAUGUAAAAGAUGCAAAGAGAGGAUCCCAAAGGACUCAGACUCCAAAAGCUCAUUCACGAACGUGGAAAUGGUGGCAUGUGAAUACUAAUAGACAGAUGCAGGACAGGCUGUGCGGGGCGAACAGACCCCUCUGCAGGUGGUGCUGAUGGAGGGAGCUGAAAACUCAGAACCCCAGACCAGUGGAGCUGCAYGAAACUCUGCCAAAGGGGAUGUGCACUGUGCCACUAUCAACUACUCCCAACUGAAGAAGAAGACUCCUGAGGAGGCAGAGAAGAAAACCAUCACCACAUAGUACGCCAAAAUCAAACGAGAGAAGAAGAAAGAAAGGGGAUGGAGGAGAGGGGUGUAGUGAUGAUGGGGAAGGAUUAGGAGAAAGAGAGCAGUAAGCCAGCAUAAGAGACAGAUGAGGAUACUGCACUUUAUUCCAACGUCAAGGCUAUUAUGGGUGGUGGUGAGUGACAAAGCAAUUUAAGCUAGAAACGUGGGGGAUAGCAUACAGUACUAUAUAGCCAUGUGUUCUUAUAUCAUUUUCAGAAUCCAGAUUGAAAGUUUUAUGUUGAUAAUGGGACUUUUCUUCAACUGAAACUACUGUAGUUAAUAGUUUUGGUGU
Molecule: long non-coding RNA, 724 nt
Organism: Salvelinus sp. IW2-2015
Lineage: Eukaryota; Metazoa; Chordata; Actinopteri; Salmoniformes; Salmonidae
Source: RefSeq, a predicted model, not a curated record